UCAAGACGACCUGGCCGCCAGCCUUAUUCUGCGGGACGACCCG
Molecule: small RNA, 43 nt
Filed under: Sodalis glossinidius str. 'morsitans'
Lineage: Bacteria; Pseudomonadati; Pseudomonadota; Gammaproteobacteria; Enterobacterales; Bruguierivoracaceae
Description: mini-ykkC.2008-01-16 RNA
Source: RNAcentral